This 647-nucleotide ribosomal RNA is filed under the name Lactarius lignyotus. RNAcentral's name for it is "LSU rRNA". It matches the Rfam family "Eukaryotic large subunit ribosomal RNA", at positions 41 to 662 of the family's 3401-position model. Lineage: Eukaryota; Fungi; Basidiomycota; Agaricomycetes; Russulales; Russulaceae. The record is from RNAcentral.
UAUCAAUAAGCGGAGGAAAAGAAACUAACAAGGAUUCCCCUAGUAACUGCGAGUGAAGCGGGAAAAGCUCAAAUUUAAAAUCUGGCGGUCCUUGGCUGUCCGAGUUGUAAUUUAGAGAAGCGUCUUCCGCGCUGGACCGUGCACAAGUCUCCUGGAAUGGAGCGUCAUAGAGGGUGAGAAUCCCGUCUUUGGCAUGGAUGCCCAGUGCUUCUGUGAUGCGCUCUCAAAGAGUCGAGUUGUUUGGGAAUGCAGCUCAAAAUGGGUGGUGAACUCCAUCUAAAGCUAAAUAUUGGCGAGAGACCGAUAGCGAACAAGUACCGUGAGGGAAAGAUGAAAAGCACUUUGGAAAGAGAGUGAAACAGUACGUGAAAUUGUUGAAAGGGAAACGCUUGAAGUCAGUCGCGUCGUCCGAGACUCAGCCUUGCCUCGGCUUGGUGUACUUCUCGGCUCGACGGGUCAGCAUGAAUUUUGCACCUCGGAUAAUGGCAAGGGAAAGGUGGCACCUUUGCGGGUGUGUUAUAGUCUCAUGUCGCAUGCGAGGGGUGAGAUUGAGGAACUCAGCGUGCGCCUUUGGUGUCGGGGCUUCGGCCCACGUAACGCGCUUAGGAUGCUGGCGUAAUGGCUUUAAACGACCCGUCUUGAAACAC